CCUUACCCACCUUUGACAUGUACGGAAGUUGCCAGAGAUGGCUUCGUGCUCGAAAGAGAACCGUAACACAGGUGCUGCAUGGCUGUCGUCAGCUCGUGUCGUGAGAUGUUGGGUUAAGUCCCGCAACGAGCGCAACCCUUGCCAUUAGUUGCUACGAAAGGGCACUCUAAUGGGACUGCCGGUGACAAACCGGAGGAAGGUGGGGAUGACGUCAAGUCCUCAUGGCCCUUAUAGGUGGGGCUACACACGUCAUACAAUGGCUGGUACAGAGGGUUGCCAACCCGCGAGGGGGAGCCAAUCCCAUAAAGCCAGUCGUAGUCCGGACCGCAGUCUGCAACUCGACUGCGUGAAGUCGGAAUCGCUAGUAAUCGCGGAUCAGCUUGCCGCGGUGAAUACGUUCCCGGGUCUUGUACACACCGCCCGUCACACCAUGGGAG
RNAcentral lists this ribosomal RNA (437 nucleotides) under uncultured bacterium. RNAcentral's name for it is "bacterial SSU rRNA". It matches the Rfam family "Bacterial small subunit ribosomal RNA", at positions 969 to 1410 of the family's 1533-position model. The record is from RNAcentral.